CUUGACACUGAACAUUGAGCCUUGAUGUGUAGGAUAGGUGGGAGGCUUUGAAGCGUGGACGCCAGUCUGCGUGGAGCCAACCUUGAAAUACCACCCUUUAAUGUUUGAUGUUCUAACGUUGGCCCCUUAUCGGGGUUGCGGACAGUGUCUGGUGGGUAGUUUGACUGGGGCGGUCUCCUCCCAAAGCGUAACGGAGGAGCACGAAGGUUAGCUAAUCCUGGUCGGACAUCAGGAGGUUAGUGCAAUGGCAUAAGCUA
RNAcentral lists this ribosomal RNA (257 nucleotides) under Klebsiella pneumoniae. Its description in RNAcentral is "partial 23S ribosomal RNA". It matches the Rfam family "Bacterial large subunit ribosomal RNA", at positions 2110 to 2366 of the family's 2925-position model. RNAcentral also lists the same sequence under 1 other name. Lineage: Bacteria; Pseudomonadati; Pseudomonadota; Gammaproteobacteria; Enterobacterales; Enterobacteriaceae. The record is from RNAcentral.